AGUGUGUAGUUGGAGAAGUAAGAAAACUGUGAGACCGCUGGGGACAUGCCGCAGCUUUGCUGGGGCCGUGAGCCCCCAGGAGGAGGAGGAGUUCCGUCGCCUGGCCGUUCUCCCCAAUGUCUAUGAGGUCAUCUCCAAGAGCAUCGCCCCCUCCAUCUUUGGGGGCACGGACAUGAAGAAGGCCAUUGCCUGUCUGCUCUUUGGGGGCUCCCGAAAGAGGCUCCCUGAUGGACUUACUCGCCGAGGAGACAUCAACCUGCUGAUGCUAGGGGACCCUGGGACAGCCAAGUCCCAGCUUCUGAAGUUUGUGGAGAAGUGUUCUCCCAUUGGGGUAUACACGUCUGGGAAAGGCAGCAGCGCAGCUGGACUGACAGCCUCGGUGAUGAGGGACCCUUCGUCCCGGAAUUUCAUCAUGGAGGGUGGAGCCAUGGUCCUGGCUGAUGGUGGGGUUGUCUGUAUUGACGAGUU
This 468-nucleotide small RNA is filed under the name Pongo abelii (Sumatran orangutan). Its description in RNAcentral is "processed transcript". The record is from RNAcentral. Lineage: Eukaryota; Metazoa; Chordata; Mammalia; Primates; Hominidae.